GACGAACGCUGGCGGCGUGCUUAACACAUGCAAGUCGAACGGUGAAGGGGUCUGCUUUUGUGGGCCCUGGAUGAGUGGCGAACGGGUGAGUAACACGUGAGUAACCUGCCCCCUUCUUCUGGAUAACCGCAUGAAAGUGUGGCUAAUACGGGAUAUUCUGGGUCUGUCGCAUGAUGGGUCUGGGAAAGAUUGCGCCUUUGGGUGUUUUUGGUGGGGGAUGGGCUCGCGGCCUAUCAGCUUGUUGGUGGGGUGAUGGCCUACCAAGGCGGUGACGGGUAGCCGGCCUGAGAGGGUGGACGGUCACACUGGGACUGAGACACGGCCCAGACUCCUACGGGAGGCAGCAGUGGGGAAUAUUGCACAAUGGGCGCAAGCCUGAUGCAGCGACGCCGCGUGAGGGAGGGAGGCCUUCGGGUUGUAAACCUCUUUCGCCAGUGAAGCAGGCCUGCUCCUUGUGGGUGGGUUGACGGUAGCUGGAGAAGAAGCGCCGGCUAACUACGUG
RNAcentral lists this ribosomal RNA (502 nucleotides) under uncultured bacterium. Its description in RNAcentral is "partial 16S ribosomal RNA". It matches the Rfam family "Bacterial small subunit ribosomal RNA", at positions 28 to 507 of the family's 1533-position model. The record is from RNAcentral.